Molecule: ribosomal RNA, 680 nt
Filed under: Streptomyces drozdowiczii
Lineage: Bacteria; Bacillati; Actinomycetota; Actinomycetes; Kitasatosporales; Streptomycetaceae
Description: bacterial SSU rRNA
Rfam family: Bacterial small subunit ribosomal RNA
Source: RNAcentral
GGGUGAGUAACACGUGGGCAAUCUGCCCUUCACUCUGGGACAAGCCCUGGAAACGGGGUCUAAUACCGGAUAAUACUUUCUCCCUCCUGGGAGAAGGUUGAAAGCUCCGGCGGUGAAGGAUGAGCCCGCGGCCUAUCAGCUAGUUGGUGGGGUAAUGGCCUACCAAGGCGACGACGGGUAGCCGGCCUGAGAGGGCGACCGGCCACACUGGGACUGAGACACGGCCCAGACUCCUACGGGAGGCAGCAGUGGGGAAUAUUGCACAAUGGGCGAAAGCCUGAUGCAGCGACGCCGCGUGAGGGAUGACGGCCUUCGGGUUGUAAACCUCUUUCAGCAGGGAAGAAGCGAAAGUGACGGUACCUGCAGAAGAAGCGCCGGCUAACUACGUGCCAGCAGCCGCGGUAAUACGUAGGGCGCAAGCGUUGUCCGGAAUUAUUGGGCGUAAAGAGCUCGUAGGCGGCUUGUCACGUCGGUUGUGAAAGCCCGGGGCUUAACCCCGGGUCUGCAGUCGAUACGGGCAGGCUAGAGUGUGGUAGGGGAGAUCGGAAUUCCUGGUGUAGCGGUGAAAUGCGCAGAUAUCAGGAGGAACACCGGUGGCGAAGGCGGAUCUCUGGGCCAUUACUGACGCUGAGGAGCGAAAGCGUGGGGAGCGAACAGGAUUAGAUACCCUGGUAGUCCAC